CACCUGCCAGGUGAGCAGAUGGACUGGAUGGAGAAAGGUUCACCAUUACAAUGAUCCGAACUCUCCGAGCCUUCCUUUGCUUCCUGGUGUAAAUUGAUCGUCUUUGAGAGGAAGAGCAUCGAUCUUCCUGGAAAACAAGGCCCUUCUGUGCAUGCUGAGGAGAGUGGGCAAAAACAAGCAGAUGACCGUUUUAACAAGCCUGUGUUUAUACGUGUCAGCUGGAAUCAAUGGCGGGGAGACGGACGGCGCGUCAACCCUUCAGGCUGCACGCGCAUUGUUCUGGAUUUACACGCUGCAGAGCUGCAGCUCAGACCGGAUGCUGCAGUCGACUGAAGGUGAAGCGCUUGUGUUGCCCUCUAGCACCUUCACAUGGACACUUGGAGCUACAGCCGCUACGCUUAGACACAUUUCAGUCUGUGUUGAUGGAUGUUUGGAGCAAAAAUAAGAAAGUAGGAAGAGAAAUCUUCAUGAUGUGACUGAAUGCUGAAUUUACUUUUAGAGCUUGUUCCAGAUCGUUAUAGAAAGAACAAAUUGUCAUUACUGGUUUCAAAAACUUUAAUAGAAUCUUGACCAUAAUAAAGACUUACAGUUCA
Oryzias melastigma (Indian medaka) is the source of this 593-nucleotide long non-coding RNA. RefSeq lists it as uncharacterized. Lineage: Eukaryota; Metazoa; Chordata; Actinopteri; Beloniformes; Adrianichthyidae. The transcript has 2 exons. The record is from RefSeq and is a predicted model, not a curated record.